GAUAAGGUUAAGUUAAUAAGGGCGCACGGUGGAUGCCUUGGCACUAGAAGCCGAAGAAGGACGUGACUAACGACGAAAUGCUUUGGGGAGCUGUAAGUAAGCGCUGAUCCAGAGAUGUCCGAAUGGGGGAACCCACUAGCUACUGGCUAGUAUCCAUAACUGUUAAGGUUAUGAGAAGGAAGACGCAGUGAACUGAAACAUCUAAGUAGCUGCAGGAAGAGAAAGCAAACGCGAUUGCCUUAGUAGCGGCGAGCGAAACGGCAGGAGGGCAAACCGAGAAGUUUACUUCUCGGGGUUGUAGGACUGCGACGUGGGACUUUAAAAGGAUAGAAGAAUUACCUGGGAAGGUAAGCCAAAGAGAGUAAUAGCCUCGUAUUUAAAAUUCUUUUGAGCCCUAGCAGUAUCCUGAGUACGGCGAGACACGCGAAAUCUCGUCGGAAUCUGGGAGGACCAUCUCCCAACCCUAAAUACUCUCUAGUGACCGAUAGUGAACCAGUACCGUGAGGGAAAGGUGAAAAGCACCCCGGGAGGGGAGUGAAAUAGAACCUGAAACCGUGUGCCUACAACAAGUUCGAGCCCGUUAAUGGGUGAGAGCGUGCCUUUUGUAGAAUGA
This 613-nucleotide ribosomal RNA is filed under the name Streptococcus dysgalactiae subsp. equisimilis. RNAcentral describes it as "bacterial LSU rRNA". It matches the Rfam family "Bacterial large subunit ribosomal RNA", at positions 1 to 618 of the family's 2925-position model. The record is from RNAcentral. Lineage: Bacteria; Bacillati; Bacillota; Bacilli; Lactobacillales; Streptococcaceae.